RNAcentral lists this long non-coding RNA (205 nucleotides) under Elaeis guineensis (African oil palm). RNAcentral describes it as "long non-coding RNA (EGUI_LNC048920)". Lineage: Eukaryota; Viridiplantae; Streptophyta; Magnoliopsida; Arecales; Arecaceae. The record is from RNAcentral.
AUCGCCCACCCAAUCCGUUUGGCGGCGGUAAUCGCCCACGCGAUUUCCCCACCGUCUCUCUCUCUCAUACCUUCUCUUCCUCUUCACCGGUCUUUGUACGACCCCACGAAGCGACGAGUCAAAGCCCUCUCCCUACUCUCUUUCCUCCCGGCUUCCUCUCUCUCUCUCUCUCUCUCUCUCUCUAUUGCUUCCAUCCUCGCGUCCA